RNAcentral lists this unclassified non-coding RNA (240 nucleotides) under soil metagenome. RNAcentral describes it as "partial contains 5.8S ribosomal RNA, internal transcribed spacer 2, and large subunit ribosomal RNA". The record is from RNAcentral.
AACACUGUUAACCUGCGGUACCUGCGGAAGGAUCAUUACAGUGCCUGUCGGGGGCGUUGCGCACGCGCGGCGCGCCCCGACUCUGGCCUCCACCCGUGUUUACCCGACCUCUUGUUGCUUUGGCGGGCUGGCCGCGGGGGCCUAUGGCCCCCCCUGGCUGCCGGAGAUCUCUCUGGACAACGCCCGUCAAGGGACCCCUUGAACCCUUGUGGAAGUGAUGGUCUCGUCUGAGUUUUUGAU